This 77-nucleotide transfer RNA is filed under the name Planctomycetota bacterium. Its description in RNAcentral is "Planctomycetes bacterium tRNA-Val". It matches the Rfam family "tRNA". From Rfam's summary of the family: Transfer RNA (tRNA) molecules are approximately 80 nucleotides in length. Their secondary structure includes four short double-helical elements and three loops (D, anti-codon, and T loops). Further hydrogen bonds mediate the characteristic L-shaped molecular structure. tRNAs have two regions of fundamental functional importance: the anti-codon, which is responsible for specific mRNA codon recognition, and the 3' end, to which the tRNAs corresponding amino acid is attached (by aminoacyl-tRNA synthetases). tRNAs cope with the degeneracy of the genetic code in two manners: having more than one tRNA (with a specific anti-codon) for a particular amino acid; and 'wobble' base-pairing, i.e. permitting non-standard base-pairing at the 3rd anti-codon position. The record is from RNAcentral. Lineage: Bacteria; Pseudomonadati; Planctomycetota.
GGGCGUUUAGCUCAGUUGGCUAGAGCACCUGAAUGACAUUCAGGGGGUCACAGGUUCAAGCCCUGUAAUGCCCACCA